GAACGCACAUUGCGCCCGCCAGUACUCUGGCGGGCAUGCCUGUCCGAGCGUCAUUUCAACCCUCAGGGCUCUCCGGCACUGGUCGGAGGGCGCUGGUGUUGGGGAUCGGCAGUCCCAGCGGCUGCCGUCCCUGAAAUGUAGUGGCGGUCCCACCGUGACCUCCCCUGUGCAGUACAUCGCUCGCAGAGGGACAGCGGUGCGGCCACGCCGUAAAACGCCCAACUUCUCAAGGUUGACCUCGGAUCAGGUAGGACUACCCGCUGAACUUAAG
This 271-nucleotide unclassified non-coding RNA is filed under the name uncultured fungus. Its description in RNAcentral is "sequence contains 5.8S rRNA gene". The stretch from base 1 to 53 matches the Rfam family "5.8S ribosomal RNA", at positions 102 to 154 of the family's 154-position model. The record is from RNAcentral. Lineage: Eukaryota; Fungi.